AACGAACGCUGGCGGCAGGCUUAACACAUGCAAGUCGAACGCCCCGCAAGGGGAGUGGCAGACGGGUGAGUAACGCGUGGGAAUCUACCCAGAUCUUCGGAACAACUGAGGGAAACUGCAGCUAAUAACGGAUACGCCCCACGAGGGAAAGAUUUAUCGGUGCUGGAUGAGCCCGCGUUGGAUUAGCUAGUUGGUGGGGUAAUGGCCUACGAAGGCGACGAUCCAUAGCUGGUCUGAGCGGAUGAUCAGCCACACUGCGACUGAGACACGGCCCAGACUCCUACGGGAGGCAGCAGUGGGGAAUAUUGGACAAUGGGCGAAAGCCUGAUCCAGCCAUGCCGCGUGAGUGACGAAGGCCUUAGGUUUGUAAAGCUCUUUCAGUAGGGAAGAUAAUGACGGUACCUACAGAAGAAGCCCCGGCUAACUUCGUGCCAGCCGCCGCGGUAA
This 447-nucleotide ribosomal RNA is filed under the name uncultured bacterium. Its description in RNAcentral is "partial 16S ribosomal RNA". It matches the Rfam family "Bacterial small subunit ribosomal RNA", at positions 29 to 523 of the family's 1533-position model. The record is from RNAcentral.